Molecule: unclassified non-coding RNA, 216 nt
Filed under: Hevea brasiliensis (rubber tree)
Lineage: Eukaryota; Viridiplantae; Streptophyta; Magnoliopsida; Malpighiales; Euphorbiaceae
Source: RNAcentral
GUGCUUGCUUAAGGUGCAGCCAGAAAUUAUAACGGCACACCCGCCGAUGUAUUUUAACUGCCGGCGAACGUAUUCAUGCACGGGGGUAACGUACCGCGCUGACGAACUGGUAACGUUCAGGCACGCAGUACGGAAGCACACAACAUCUAUAAUGAGAUUGUUCGUCUUGGCGGGUGAAAGCAAUGGCAGGCGUUCGGGCUGAAAGAAAGUCGGCAU